RNAcentral lists this long non-coding RNA (7389 nucleotides) under Brassica napus (rape). Its description in RNAcentral is "long non-coding RNA (BNAP_LNC000356)". The record is from RNAcentral. Lineage: Eukaryota; Viridiplantae; Streptophyta; Magnoliopsida; Brassicales; Brassicaceae.
ACCAGAGCUCCUCAACGACGACAGCACAAUCUGCUAAGUUCCUUCUUGUACGGUAACUCUUGUACACCUUUUGUAGCGUAGUUGCAGCUGCAUCAAGCUCGGUGACCGGUCUAGGUGAGAAGAACACAAAAGGCUCAGGUGGAGUUACUGUGGGUUUCUUUAUUUGGAUUCUCUCACAGUUUCUCCCGUUCAAAGUGUUAUGAGUUGACUUCUUUGUCUCAAGAACCUUAAAACCUGAAUCAUUUUUUGUUUCCUCAGUAUUUGAGCUCAAUUUGUGAGCUGCAGCAUCCAAACUCUUCUGCCUACAACAUUUGAAGCAACACUUAGAUUAGUGUAAACAUCUUUAUAAGACAUCACAAGAAGAAGAUCAAUCAAGUAACUCACCAAAGCUCCUCUACAAGGACAGCACAAUCUGCUAAGUUCCUUCUUGUCCGGUAACUCUUGUACACCUUUUGUACGGUAGUUGCAGCUGCAUCAAGCUCGGUGACCGGUCUAGGGGAGAAGAACACGAAAGGCUCAGGUGGAGUAAUCGUAGGUUUCUUUAUUUGGAUUCUCUCACAGUUUCUUCCAUUCAAAGUGCUAGGCGUUGACUUCUUUGUCUCCCAGACAUCAAAAUUUGAAUCAGUCUUGGUAUCUUCAGGAACCUCCCAGCUGUUGAAACUCAACGACCGCUGCAUAGUUGGUUUCCGAUUAAUCUUAGGAGAGUUCUGGUGAGUAGUGUUAUCUCUAUUGAAACUGUUGGUUCUUGAAGUCAAGCCUCCGUCUUUAAUUUUCAAGCUAAGGGAGCCAACUUCAAGACCCAUGGACACAAUAAAGCCAGAGGAUACUUCCAAAAUAUAUUAAUAUAGAAACCUCCUGUACACGUCAAUACAGAUGAGUAUCAGCCUUUAAUUUAAUUGAAAUAAAACUAUAGUCUUAUUAAUAGUAGCUACACCAACCAAACAUUGAUAAAAACAUAUCGUCCAGACAUCCCGACAAAUACCUUUUGUUAAGUGAUUAGUAGAUAGAAGAACCAAAACAAAUGGCACCAAGAGAAAGAUGAGCUACAAACAAUUAAAAGAAUUUUAAAACAAUGUGGAGAAAUCUUUUCUUAAUUCUCCAAUUUUGUGUAGAUUGCUGUAGUCCAGCGGUAUAGUGUGCAACAACUCGUUCAGUUCAAAAAAAAAAAACAAUGUGGAGAAAAAGGAAACGAGGGAUUUGAAUAAUUGAAUAUGUCCAACAUAGGUUGAAGAAGACUUAUAUAGCUAUGUAGGCAUAGAUAUGUGUAGUGUGGGCAGUUGGAAGACUAGUAAUAGAGUAAAAGUCUUAAUUACAUAAUCUUUGAAGACGGAAGAUUCAAACUUGGUGUGUCUGAGAAAGAUGAACAUUUGAAUAUUAUAGAAAAGGGUGGGUUAGGAGAAAAUAGAGGAUGUGGGGGUCCUAUUAGAUAUGGAGGCUAUACUGAAGCCUCAAGGUAAGUUCAUGGAAGUUAUUGAGAAAAGGACUAUACACAUGAUCUAUUCCAAUUCUUAAUUAAUGUUAGUGAUUUGAUAUUCUGAGUUUGAUUUUUCCAAUAGAAAUACAACUAACAACUGGUCCUAAAGAUGGUCUUAAAUGUGAUUGGUGUUCAAAACAAAAUGUGUCGUCAAAAGUUAUUGCUCCCUUUUCACACGGACUGAGAAAGUAGCGAAAUAUAUGUAAGUUGAUAUUAAUUACAUCUUUCUGAUCAAUAGUAUUUGAGAUAAAUAAAAUUAUUUAUAAAACCAAUAUAGUUUGCAAUUAAUUUAUAGUUGAAAGUAAGUAUAAUUUGUAUUGGAAUUGCAAAGUGACACUUUUUGUGUAACAUGAAAAAAAUGCUAGUAAAAAAAAAAAAAUAGAAUGAUAUUUAUUAUGAAACAGACAGUAUAUUAUUAUAUUUUUCUUUUUUUCUGUGUGAAUUUAUAUAUUAUUAUUAUUAUUAUAUAUUAUUAUAUCUUUGUCAUGACUUUGUGACUAGUCGAUGCGUGCGGGUCAAGCAUGUUUGUCUAGAGUGCAUGUGGUUUAUAUUGCACUUGUUAGUUGGUUACUAAUGACUUUCUUGGAAUUGAAGGGUUCGAAAUUGAAAACUUUAUUAUGAGAUCAAGUAAAAACAUAGAGGAUAUUCUAUAGUUAAGCGGAAGUAUUUUCGUGUCUAGUCACAAUAUGAAUCUAUUUGUAGAAAAAUGCUCUAAUUUCUGGAAUAUUUGUAAUUGACAAUUUAUUCGUCAACUAAAUGUGAGUUAACUUUACAAAGUAUGCUUCAAUAUUUGUCAAUGUUAAAAAUAAAUGUAGAUUGAUAAGUUUGUUAUAAAUCCAUGAUAUGGAUAUGUGGAUUGCCAUUAACCAUUAAGGAGGUUUACAUCUGACCCGACUAUCCGGUCCGUCUACACCCGUCUCCGGUCCGUCUACAUCCGACCAAGACUAGUCAAGAUGAAGACUCAUUCAACCGGAGCAUUUAUGAGCUUUGACCAAGUCUAGAUAUUUGUAGUCAAAUGUAUUAAAUGUGUAGAUUCUCUCCUUUGUGUAAACCCUUAUGAACCUCCACUAUAUAUUGAUAGUGAGAGCUAAUGAGAAAGACACAACUUUCAAAGCAACACUUCUCUCAUAUUUCUAACACGUUAUCAGCACGAUUGUGCUCUCCACCUGAGAAAUCUCUCUCAGCCGGCGCAAGGCGUAUUGAAGUUGAGCAGGUGAAGUUCAACAGGUGGAUGAAGCCGGAUGAGCUUUAUUCAGAAUAUGUGAGGCUGAGAAGGUCGGUUCUCAGGAGGCUGCAAGAGAUGCAGAAGGUGAGCAUGUUUUUUGCUCUGGCUUCAAGAAGUAUUUGAAGCAACUCUGAAGAUUCUCGGAGUAGUCGAGCACUAGGGUGUUUAGCACUGUCUGGCAUUUCACGAGUUGGCAACAUGGUAGCUGCAGAUAGAGCUGAUUAAUCAUUAAGGUGGAGAUUGUUACGUUGGUGAUGAAGAAUCAGUUAUAUUGGAAGCUUAAACCACACCGAGAUUGAAAAUUGAGUUAUAUGGCGUUUUUGGUUAAACGGCCGACUAAUAUUACUCAAUGGUUUACGGUUAUUGGAAACCGGUUAUCAGUUGUAACUACCCUUGCCUAAUAUAAAAGCAAGGCUCGUGAGUUGUAUUAGAUAUCAGAGAAAGAUAGAUUAUACUAGGGUUACAAACUUUAGGUCACGACCGUUGUGAUCUUGGAAGAGUUUAGUAAUUUGCCUUGCCAGGCCCCAGGGACGUAGCCCCACCGGUGAACUCUUGGUCAUCAAAUAAACUAUGUAUUGAGGUUUAGUCAAGACGACCGGACUUGUUCAAGUUGGGCUAACUUGCACAAGUCACGCGCGUAUGGACUAUGGGCCUAUUUGACAAAGCCCAUUAGGUCAAAUUCUGAUUAUAUUAGUUGGAGAGGUCACGACAGAUGACCUAACACAAGACAGACACAAGUGAAACACAGAGGAGAGGCACGAAAGAGUGGAGCUCGAGAGAGCUCAAGACCAGGGCUUAGUCUGAAGAGAGAGAGCUAGAGAGAACUAGGUUCUCGGUACCCUAGCUAGGCUCUUCCCUAUAUACUUGUAUCUCUAGGUGAUUUGUAACAGAGAUCAAGAGAGGUCAACAUAAACAAUAACCUCUGGAUAUUGUACUCUCGUGUUUUUGAUAUAAUGGAAAGUUGAGAGACCGAUUUCUCUCUCCGGUGAGUAUAGCUCCUUCUUCACAUCGAGGAAGGGAGGUGAACACCGGGUUAACAAAAGUGUCUUGUGUUCCUUCUUAUCUUGCUUGAUUUGUGUUCCGCGUAUUUGAUUAGUGACUAGGUUUGCGAUAAAUAACUACUGUAAGAUUCUAGGAAAGAGAAAAAUUCCCUAACGAUUAUGUUUUGAGCCUAGCUUUUGUUCUUGUUUCAAUAAUUGUGGAUGGUCUCUGUUUUGGUUCGUGACAAAAGUGUCUUUCUAGGUGUUCAUAUGAAGUUCCAAAUGGUGUUAUUUGUGUUAUUAUAUGGUACCGGUUUAGGGUUGUGCGAGCUUUAAGGUUCCGACAAAUUGGUCUUUAGAAUAGGAAGUUGCUUCAAGUCUAUAAACAAGCUUCAUUGACUUGUUUCUGUCCGCAUUUAAAGAUCGGUCCAUUCUUCCCCAGUGGUCACUAUCAUCAUGACAUCUGUUUCAAGUAUUCAACUCUUUCUACGAGACUUUCAUCUUAAGUUUUAGCUUGCCAUAUCUUCUUUUGUUCAUAUCCUUGUAGUUUCGUUUUUGAGUUUCUCGUUUGGCUCCAGAAAGAUUACGAUUCUUAUCAGUUUAUGGCUCAGAAAGGAAUGUGUUUUUUGCGGACUUAUGAACAACAUCCACGUUUUUAUUUAUUCAAAUAUUUGGAUCUAAACAGCCCACAAAACGAUCAUACAAAGAACUACUCGAAACAACAAAAAAUCUUGCAAUUCACGAAAUAUACAAAAGAUAUAAAAGAACAAAGAAAGACGGAGGCUAGCUUCUCCUCUUCUAACCUAUUCUUUCUUGAUUAAACAAGUGUAAGUUUUAGCAUUUCACACCUCUAGGGCUUGGGAUCCCCAUGUAAGCUAACCGUGGAGAAACCCUCACUCUAGGACUCGGUCUUGGAGAUGGGAUUGGUCCAUACGAAUAGGCUGGUGAGACACGAGGUGAGAGAUUGACUUGCUCCAAUGCUUGUGCCUGUAGCUCCACUGGAUAAUCUCUAACACACCCAAUUCUUGGACCGUAUCCACUUGACCAUUUACAAGAAAGUCUCUUCGCAUGAUCAAACACUGGUCUCGCUCUCUCUUCUUGCCCUGAAGGCAACUCAACUUCUUCUGAUACUUCUUUUGGUUCAUCUUCUUCUUCAGUAGUGGAUUUGAAUGACGACGAAUACUCUUCAUUCACAGCACAUCUCUGCAAUACAUAUUAAAUUUAUAUCUCGUUAAUACAAAGAUGUCAAGAACACGAAAGAAUGUAAUGUUUUUAUUUGUUUCCUUACCUUAACAUUGGUGAGAACAACAUUGUGCUCCUCCAAGAAACUUAUGAACUCCUUGAAGUUUUCUUCUGUUGGGAGAUAGUGUCCACUAUAUGGCCAUAUAGCCUGAAGAGGCGUAAGACCAUUUUAGUUUACACAAGAUGAGAUUCAUACACGAUGGAGAAGCAAGACAUGUAACUUAAGUACCUCAAGGAUCCCAUCACGGGCCACCAAUCUUCCUGCAGCGGUUGUGGCUCCUCCAGAUAAGAAACUAGAGUGCUGGAAAACGCCUUUCUUCUUCUUCCCUACGUAUAAGGUUCUAGUCGUGCUAAGUACAAAUAUGGACUUUGAUUCAUCAGUUGAGUUGAUCAGAUCCAUGCUUUGUUUGUACAUUAGUCUCCCAUCUUCCACUAUCACUUCAUAUGCUUCUCUCUCCAUCUGAACGUUUGAAGAAACCACAAAGAGUGAUGAGUAAUCAAGAAGGUAAACCUAGCUAACUAGUACUCCUGUAAGAAACUCACUGGUCCGAGAUAACUGAUGCAUUGUUUCUGCAGAACACUUCUUGGGUGUUUCUCAAGAUUUACGUCUUUUCCGUCUCCUAUAUCCAACCUUUAGUUUCAAAUGAGUUGAAACGGAGUUUAAAACAGAUUCAAAAACAAAAAGAUCUAAGAUGAAUGUUUGGUUCUAACACUAACCAGUAAAAGAAUGGCUGUGAGCUCUUGCUCUCUGACCAGACAUCAUAAUAGAAGUGCAAGUUGUGGCCAUAACGAUGACGUGGGUCAAUCUGUUGAUAAAAGAAAAGACGAUCAGAUUAGAUUCCCAACAUCAAAGAGGAACCUAUAACUUUGACCUUGUGUUCUACUACCCAAUUUCCAUGACUUAAAUCUAGGUGCACCAAUAAUCUAGAUAGUUCUUUUAGGAUUAAAAAAAAAAACACUUCUAGUAAUAAAUAUAACUUCCUAUAGAAAAAAAUAUAUUUAAAAGUAUAAAUAGGAAUUAAAAAAAAUUGUAAUUUAUUCAUUCACACAAUCAAUAAACAAAUCCUAAAAAUAGGUGUUUGUAUCAGUCUAAUUGUGCUCUAUAAUUUUUUUUAUUUCCUCGAGUUUAGGUCGCAGAUUCACUUGACAAAAUUCAUCGAUAUGAUUCUUGACAUGUCCUAUCAAUUACCAAAAAGAGGUCAUGGGGACUUACCGCUUCAAGCCAAUGCUGAAGAGCUAAUUUCUGAGCCUUUUCAUCUUUUGACAAGCCUUUCCCAACCUGCAAGAUUGAGACCACAUUUGUUUUUUCAUAAGAGCAUCAUUAUUGGGAGUAUCUAGCUAGUAGGAGUUCUCAAAGUACAAUAAAUUUAUAAUUAUUAUAAAUUAUUAUGUUGGAUAUCUCAAAAUCAUGAGAACCACACACCAGAGUAUCUCAAAGUAUGUUUGGUGUAGAAUUCACGAGAUUUUGAGAUACCUUUAUUUAUCUAUACAUACACAUGUGUUUAUAUUGAUAAUCCCUUGACAUGCUUUAACAAAGAGAAAUAGUGAAACUAAUAACACCUUGACUUAAAAGUAAGCAGAGAGAAAGAACUUGUGAAAAUGAAGUCAGACCUUAGCGGCUCGUGUUCUAGCUCGCACCCAUUUUGAAGCAGCGGGCUCAUGUUUCUCUUCUUCAAAGAAAGACACAGAGCUCAGGUCCAGAGUUGCAGCAUCAAGAGUCUUCCACCUAUAACGUUACAAGCAAUAACAACAGUUAAGUUAAAUCAUCUUUAAAAAACAUUAAAAAGAUGAAAAUGGUUUGUGCAACUCACCAGAGCUCCUCAACGACGACAGCACAAUCUGCUAAGUUCCUUCUUGUACGGUAACUCUUGUACACCUUUUGUAGCGUAGUUGCAGCUGCAUCAAGCUCGGUGACCGGUCUAGGUGAGAAGAACACAAAAGGCUCAGGUGGAGUUACUGUGGGUUUCUUUAUUUGGAUUCUCUCACAGUUUCUCCCGUUCAAAGUGUUAUGAGUUGACUUCUUUGUCUCAAGAACCUUAAAACCUGAAUCAUUUUUUGUUUCCUCAGUAUUUGAGCUCAAUUUGUGAGCUGCAGCAUCCAAACUCUUCUGCCUACAACAUUUGAAGCAACACUUAGAUUAGUGUAAACAUCUUUAUAAGACAUCACAAGAAGAAGAUCAAUCAAGUAACUCACCAAAGCUCCUCUACAAGGACAGCACAAUCUGCUAAGUUCCUUCUUGUCCGGUAACUCUUGUACACCUUUUGUACGGUAGUUGCAGCUGCAUCAAGCUCGGUGACCGGUCUAGGGGAGAAGAACACGAAAGGCUCAGGUGGAGUAAUCGUAGGUUUCUUUAUUUGGAUUCUCUCACAGUUUCUUCCAUUCAAAGUGCUAGGCGUUGACUUCUUUGUCUCCCAGACAUCAAAAUUUGAAUCAGUCUUGGUAUCUUCAGGAACCUCCCAGCUGUUGAA